UUUUUUUUUUUUUUUUUUUUUUUUUUUUUUGGAACAUGCUGAAUUAGGGUACCUGCGGAGCAUUCAAGGGAAUGGGUGUGGUAGGUAAUUGGCUAUGUAAAUGUGCAGUUUAGGAGAGAGACCUGGGGUGGAGACACAGGCAGACGUCUUGCAUUAAUCACACUCACUUCUAAGCAAAGAGACAAGUUCAAGUUCCAAACACAUACGCUUUACUACUUAAGAGAACUUUCUGUUUAUACUCCAUCUUUUCAAUCAGAAGUGUCUUCAUAAAAUUCUUGUCAUUCCUGCACUCAACAAUCAAAAAAUUAUAGGAGAAGUACCAUAUUUAAUUGAUAGUAUUCCUCUAAAAUUCAAAACUUUAAGUGACAUUAAUUCUCUUUUCCCAUCUUGUGCAGACUUUCAAGAAUAAUUAUCUGAUCAGGAAGUUCAAAAGUUCAGAUAUUAUUUUAACUGCCUUUCUCAAUUUAAAUUCUUACUUCACCUUCUGCAACAGUCAGGAAUGAUUCUACCACUUUAUUUCCUUCGUGGAGGAAAUGAUUCCUGAGAAGUGCUGCCAACAGAAACCAGUGUGAGAAACCUUAAUGAGAGUGGCUUUAUUCUAGAAGCUCUUGGAAAGCCCACUUUGGUUAGGGGGUGUGUCACUCUUCUUGUCAUAUUUUCCAUCUCAAAAGGGCUUUUUAAUGUGGUUAUAUUACUGCCCAGCACGGAGGAAUUUUGGCAGGCAAUUUUUUUUACAUUAGCAUGGAAUUUUUUUUGUGGCCAGAUGAUAGCUUAAGAUCAUUUGCUGCUGUUCUGUUAAGAAUCAAAGAAAGGAAGGACUCAUUACGCCUUUUCCUUCCUCCAACAAUGAAGGCAUUUAAGACAAGAGCGUUUUGCUUCCUUUGAGGCACGGAAGUAUUGCUAACUUUCUGUAUGCUUAGGAGAAUAAAGUAGUUUUGCAACAAUACUACAGAAGGCCUUUCUCUCGAUCUUAACACCAGCUAAAAAUCGCUCUUCUCCAAGAAAAGAGUGCAGCGAAUCAAAGAGAUGAACAUUAUCACUCACCUCUUCCAAAGCUUCCUGGAUACAUCCCACAAACCGAAACACACUCCAGCACAUUUUCUAGGAAGAUUUUCCUGAUAAUCCAUUAAAGAAAAUUGAUUGGCAAAAGGCUGACUGAAGAAACUGGGGUUUUACUCCAGGAAAAUAACUUUUCAAUAAAAGAAUAGAAAUGUUGUCUUUAUAAUUGGAAGAAUUAUUAUUAUUAUUAUUAUUAUUAUUUUUGUCUUUUUGCCAUUUCUUGGGCCGCUCCUGCGGCAUAUGGAGGUUCCCAGGCUAGGGGUCUAAUCAGAGCUGUAACCAUCAGCCUACACCAGAGCUACAGCAACUCAGGAUCCGAGCCGUGUCUGUGACCUACACCACAGCUCAUGGCAACACUGGAUCCUUAACCCACUGAGCAAGGCCAGGGAUCGAACCUUCAACCUCAUGGUUCCUAGUCAGAUUCAUUAACCACUGUGCCACGACAGGAACUCCUGGAAAAAUUAGUUUUAUUCAUGAUCAAAGCACAGAACUUUUAGUCUUUCAUGGAACUCCUCCAAUCACAGUGUAAGGAACAGGACCCUGCGAGCUAGACAUU
Molecule: long non-coding RNA, 1615 nt
Filed under: Sus scrofa (pig)
Lineage: Eukaryota; Metazoa; Chordata; Mammalia; Artiodactyla; Suidae
Description: lncRNA (ENSSSCG00005039530.1)
Source: RNAcentral